CAAUAGCGUAUAUUAAAGUUGUUGCAGUUAAAAAGCUCGUAGUUGGAUUUGUGGUUGAUCGGAGUCGCCCUUCAUUCGUGUUGGUGUGUACUUUGGUCGCCAUCCUUGGGUGGAAUCUGUGUGGCAUUAGGUUGUCGUGCAGGGGAUGCCCAUCUUUUACUGUGAAAAAAUUAGAGUGUUCAAAGCAGGCUUACGCCGUUGAAUAUAUUAGCAUGGAAUAAUAAGAUAGGACCUCGGUACUAUUUUGUUGGUUUGCGCACUGAGGUAAUGAUUAAUAGGGACAGUUGGGGGUAUUCGUAUUCCAUUGUCAGAGGUGAAAUUCUUGGAUUUUUGGAAGACGAACUACUGCGAAAGCAUUUACCAAGGAUGUUUUCAUUAA
This 379-nucleotide ribosomal RNA is filed under the name uncultured eukaryote. RNAcentral describes it as "partial 18S ribosomal RNA". It matches the Rfam family "Eukaryotic small subunit ribosomal RNA", at positions 592 to 976 of the family's 1831-position model. The record is from RNAcentral.